Molecule: long non-coding RNA, 1528 nt
Filed under: Vulpes vulpes (red fox)
Lineage: Eukaryota; Metazoa; Chordata; Mammalia; Carnivora; Canidae
Description: lncRNA (ENSVVUG00000010998.1)
Source: RNAcentral
AGGAAAUCUUGCUCUAGUGCCUGAAAACCAUUAGGCAGUUUAGCAAAGCCUUGGCUCCCGUCGUUGAGGACAUUGAUAAACUAGUGAAAUUCCGACAAAUGUCUUUGCGUCUUCACUCUGGGCCUUCCUAGUACCAGCCACCUGGGACCUAGACUUGUUCCUCGGUUUCAGCUCAAGCUGGUACAGAGGGGAGUCCAGCCAGGAGCAGUGGGAGGCUCCCCAGGAGCUGACUGACCGUAGAGAAUUCCCAGUACAGGGAGUGCUACGGAUCUCUCCUUGUGACUUGUGUGCGACAGGUCAUGGGUAUGGGUGCGAUGUGUACUGUGUGUGUGUGUGUGUGUGUGUGUGUGUGUUUACGUGUAUUUUCGGAGCGCUGGCUGUUAACGCCCUCACCGCCCCCACCGCACCCCUCUGGCUCCAAUCCAAUUCCAAAUCCCUGGUUACAGAUCUUAAGGACCAGACGGAUAGAGGGGAGAGAGGCUUCUCAGGCCCACCGAUGGACGGAAAGGGAUGGAGUGAUUUGGAAAUCCCUCUGCUCCCAAUCAGUCAGCCAGGCCUGAGGCCAGACGCUCCAGUGCAUUGCUGCGGAUGGUUACUCAUCGAGGGCUCAGGUCAUAGAAUCGUUUGGUCCACUAGACACUUAUCCAGCCUCACCAGGACACGCCAAGCCCUGCACAUUCCUGGGGACACAACGGUUGAAGGCACGGAGUGGCUCCUGGCCUUGAAGAACUCAUGUCAGGUGGGAACACAGCUACCUCAACUGAAACCCAGCAGCGACCUCAGGGAAGCCGAGGGCCUAAAGCACAACUGCCCCCCCCCCCAACCCCCAAGGACGUUCCAGUUGGGUAGCUUCAAAGGAAGCAUCUCCCUGACUCAGCCUCAGGAGGGCCACUGGGUCUGGCCAGGCAGCCUCACCUGCGUGUUUGGACCAGCAUCUAACUGUUGACCCUCUCUCUGGCACAUGGUUUCCCAGAAAACUAGGAGUUUUGACUGACAGUCACUUCUCAUCUGACAUCGAAAUCCCUGGAAGUUUCCAAGACAAAGCUGAGUUGCAGCCAUAGUCCUACCUGACCUUCUCCGGCCUGGGUCUCUUAUUUUUCUCUUCAUUCAGAGCCUUUGCCUGGACUGCUGACAGAAUGAUUGGCGUGACCUCGCUCUGAAACUAAUACCAAGACAUUUACCAAAUUUUCUCUGAAACUAUACCUUCAGCUCCUUUCCACCAUAUUGGAUUCCCUGUGAUUUGAGAAAAUAAGAACUGCACUGGAUAAGUCACAUGCUGCUUGAGACUUGACCUGAGUGGUGGCCUCCUCACCGGGCCUUGCUUCUGUCCCUACUUGUCCCUCAUUUCUUGUUCUCUUCAUAUUUGGGCUCCUUCCCAUUUUCUCAAGUGUGUUCCCUAAUGUCCUGCUUGGGGCCAAUUGUGAUGCUACAGGGUUAAAAUAUUCCCCUUUCCUUUCCCCCACCUGCCUGCUCAAUGCCACUUGGAAUCAGAAAUAAAACCAUCCAAAUUCAGCUAAGUUGUAGAUAU